GACGAACGCUGGCGGCGUGCUUAACACAUGCAAGUCGAACGGAAAGGCCCUGCUUUUGUGGGGUGCUCGAGUGGCGAACGGGUGAGUAACACGUGAGUAACCUGCCCUUGACUUUGGGAUAACUUCAGGAAACUGGGGCUAAUACCGGAUAGGAGCUCCUGCUGCAUGGUGGGGGUUGGAAAGUUUCGGCGGUUGGGGAUGGACUCGCGGCUUAUCAGCUUGUUGGUGGGGUAGUGGCUUACCAAGGCUUUGACGGGUAGCCGGCCUGAGAGGGUGACCGGCCACAUUGGGACUGAGAUACGGCCCAGACUCCUACGGGAGGCAGCAGUGGGGAAUAUUGCACAAUGGGCGGAAGCCUGAUGCAGCAACGCCGCGUGCGGGAUGACGGCCUUCGGGUUGUAAACCGCUUUCGCCUGUGACGAAGCGUGAGUGACGGUAAUGGGUAAAGAAGCGCCGGCUAACUACGUGCCAGCAGCCGCGGUGAUACGUAGGGUGCGAGCGUUGUCCGGAUUUAUUGGGCGUAAAGGGCUCGUAGGUGGUUGAUCGCGUCGGAAGUGUAAUCUUGGGGCUUAACCCUGAGCGUGCUUUCGAUACGGGUUGACUUGAGGAAGGUAGGGGAGAAUGGAAUUCCUGGUGGAGCGGUGGAAUGCGCAGAUAUCAGGAGGAACACCAGUGGCGAAGGCGGUUCUCUGGGCCUUUCCUGACGCUGAGGAGCGAAAGCGUGGGGAGCGAACAGGCUUAGAUACCCUGGUAGUCCACGCUGUAAACGGUGGGUACUAGGUGUGGGGUCCAUUCCACGGGUUCCGUGCCGUAGCUAACGCUUUAAGUACCCCGCCUGGGGAGUACGGCCGCAAGGCUAAAACUCAAAGGAAUUGACGGGGCCCCGCACAAGCGGCGGAGCAUGCGGAUUAAUUCGAUGCAACGCGUAGAACCUUACCUGGGUUUGACAUGGAUCGGGAGUGCUCAGAGAUGGGUGUGCCUCUUUUGGGGUCGGUUCACAGGUGGUGCAUGGCUGUCGUCAGCUCGUGUCGUGAGAUGUUGGGUUAAGUCCCGCAACGAGCGCAACCCUUGUUCACUGUUGCCAGCACGUUAUGGUGGGGACUCAGUGGAGACCGCCGGGGUCAACUCGGAGGAAGGUGGGGAUGACGUCAAGUCAUCAUGCCCCUUAUGUCCAGGGCUUCACGCAUGCUACAAUGGCUGGUACAGAGAGUGGCGAGCCUGUGAGGGUGAGCGAAUCUCGGAAAGCCGGUCUCAGUUCGGAUUGGGGUCUGCAACUCGACCUCAUGAAGUCGGAGUCGCUAGUAAUCGCAGAUCAGCAACGCUGCGGUGAGUACGUUCCCGGG
This 1343-nucleotide ribosomal RNA is filed under the name uncultured bacterium. RNAcentral's name for it is "16S ribosomal RNA". It matches the Rfam family "Bacterial small subunit ribosomal RNA", at positions 28 to 1378 of the family's 1533-position model. The record is from RNAcentral.